This 371-nucleotide transfer-messenger RNA is filed under the name Ruminococcus sp. It matches the Rfam family "transfer-messenger RNA". From Rfam's summary of the family: Bacterial tmRNA, also known as 10Sa RNA or SsrA, is named for its dual tRNA and mRNA-like properties. Its role is to liberate the mRNA from a stalled ribosome. Lineage: Bacteria; Bacillati; Bacillota; Clostridia; Eubacteriales; Oscillospiraceae. RNAcentral also lists the same sequence under 1 other name. The record is from RNAcentral.
GGGGGCGUAAAGGUUUCGACGGGGAUUCUGAAGUGUGAUAAGCGAGCGGAGCUGCGGUGUAAUCUCCUUAAACUGCACCACGUUUAAAUAUAAACGCUACAAAUAAUAUUUCAGUAUCUAGCAAUAGAGCACUGGUAGCUGCUUAAGUCAGCUUCUGUCCUGUGAUUGAGUACCGUGGCUUUCACAUGGGCAUCGACUAACGGUGAACGAUCCUGCGGAGUGUCCGUUCCGCUUGAUUGUAUUCGGACUACCUGAGUUCUCAGCCCGUUUAUCGGCGGUCCUCUCAGGGAACUAAAAAAGGUAAAAUACGCUCGUAGAAAGUUGCAUGGAUGGGUUUUCGGACAGGGGUUCAAUUCCCCUCGCCUCCACCA